UACGUAGGGUGCAAGCGUUAUCCGGAAUUAUUGGGCGUAAAGAGCUCGUAGGCGGUUUGUCGCGUCUGCUGUGAAAACUGGGGGCUCAACCCCCAGCCUGCAGUGGGUACGGGCAGACUAGAGUGCGGUAGGGGAGAUUGGAAUUCCUGGUGUAGCGGUGGAAUGCGCAGAUAUCAGGAGGAACACCGAUGGCGAAGGCAGAUCUCUGGGCCGUAACUGACGCUGAGGAGCGAAAGCAUGGGGGAGCGAACAGG
Molecule: ribosomal RNA, 254 nt
Filed under: uncultured bacterium
Lineage: Bacteria
Description: partial 16S ribosomal RNA
Rfam family: Bacterial small subunit ribosomal RNA
Source: RNAcentral